Molecule: long non-coding RNA, 918 nt
Filed under: Equus caballus (horse)
Lineage: Eukaryota; Metazoa; Chordata; Mammalia; Perissodactyla; Equidae
Description: lncRNA (ENSECAG00000038321.2)
Source: RNAcentral
CCAGCAUCUUGUAGCUGGGAUCAUUCAGGUGCACACUCUGAUACGCAUUGGGGCGAGGACAGGGGCAGCUGAUGGCAGCAAGGCAGGAGGGCACAUCGGAUCAGACCUGCUCCCAGGAAGCUCACCCAGCACGGAACACAAACGGGAGGCCCAGCAGACAGGAGGAGGAGGUCCCGGGACAGAAGAGAGCCCUAGAGACCCCUGAAGAAGGCUAGAGAGGAGAGACGGGGAGGAAUGUAGAAGGCGCAUCAAGAAGAAUGCAAGAACAAACCACGCCCCCUUCCUCACUGAAGGUUCCUAAACCCGGUGUCAGACCUGAGCUGGACAGAAGGAAGAAACUUUAAAUUGGAUGUGAGAUUCAAGUUUGAGUUUAGUUUGUAGCUUUAACUAUCCCAAAACAGGACUGUUCUGACAUCUGAAAGUGAUCAAAGUCUUGAGAUCUGUCUGGCGAAAUCACCAAAGAGCAAGAAAGGAGGUGCAGAGAGAGCCGAUUUGAAGAACUACUUGGAGUUUCCUACGUGGCGACGACACUUCCCAAAUGCUGACGCUCUGCCCCUCUUCGAAGGCCUGCUUUUAUUUUUCCUGUCCAGGUCAUCUGUGCAAGUCAUUAAAGUUAAAGGUUCCGACUGUGCUAUUCUAGAAAAGACAAGAACAACAGACUCCUUAAGCAGGCUAGCCCAGGCAUGUUCUCAUGGCACGGUGGAGAGACACUACAGAGGAAGUGGAAUCAUGCAGGCUAUUCAACCUUCCAAGUGUGAGAUGUUGCUAACUACCAUCCCGUUGGCCAAACAAAUAGCCUUGGACGAUAGAGACAGUGGCUCCCUGUGGAGCAGAGGACAGAGAGCAGGUGUCGUCCUCCAGAGCAGAAGUCAGGCAGGUUUGCUUACUGCCCAUCAUGAAAUAUUCAAAUUCCCCGAG